RNAcentral lists this ribosomal RNA (57 nucleotides) under Amanita kotohiraensis. RNAcentral's name for it is "partial 28S ribosomal RNA". It matches the Rfam family "Eukaryotic large subunit ribosomal RNA", at positions 1 to 57 of the family's 3401-position model. The record is from RNAcentral. Lineage: Eukaryota; Fungi; Basidiomycota; Agaricomycetes; Agaricales; Amanitaceae.
UGACCUCAAGUCAGGUAGGACUACCCGCUGAACUUAAGCAUAUCAAUAAGCGGAGGA